UGAGGGCAUGUUCCUAGCAGCUGCCAGAACUAUUUGUUUUGGUGAUCCUCCCUGCUUGUCCCAAGCACAGCACUGGCUGCCAACUUACACUUGUCCUUGGUGGAAUGGAAACAUGCAUCUGGAUGAGCUGCUGAGUUUCAAAACUGAGGAUGUGAUUCUGAGGCCUCAGAAACUGGGAAACAUCCAUAAAAGUAUUGCUGCUCUCAAGUGUUCAUGGCAACUGAGAGGAAGACAGUAGAUUAGAGCUGGAAGCAGAGGAUCCAUGGAGGACAGGAAAUCCCUGAUAGAUGAAGAAGCCAUGGGAUGGAAAGAAUUGAGUCUGAAACACAGCACAGAGAAACACAGACAUUACCUCUGCCACAUUACUCCAUGUCCUCAAAAUCCCCAUAAAUAAACUAGAUCUUGGUAAGUCAGUAAGAUUUUAGAUUAGCAAUUGCCCUGUGCUGAUGAAAACAAUAAUGCAAUAAACAUAAUCAUUGUAUGGUGGUGUUCAUAUAAAAUUGAAAGAUCAAUUUCAAUACAUUUGAUACAAAAAUCUCAGGUUUGUUACUUUAGGACACACCAGCCAAUAUGGUGUCUCAUUUUUAAGAUGGAGCACAUGAACUUUGAGCUUCCCAAGUGGCACUGGUGAUAAAGAACCCAUCUGCCAAGGCAGGAGACAUAUGUGGGUUCAAUCCCCUGGAGAUGAACCUGCCAAUCCACUCC
Molecule: long non-coding RNA, 705 nt
Organism: Bubalus bubalis (water buffalo)
Lineage: Eukaryota; Metazoa; Chordata; Mammalia; Artiodactyla; Bovidae
Exons: 3
Source: RefSeq, a predicted model, not a curated record